Molecule: ribosomal RNA, 353 nt
Filed under: Chryseobacterium sp.
Lineage: Bacteria; Pseudomonadati; Bacteroidota; Flavobacteriia; Flavobacteriales; Weeksellaceae
Description: bacterial SSU rRNA
Rfam family: Bacterial small subunit ribosomal RNA
Source: RNAcentral
GCUCAGGAUGAACGCUAGCGGGAGGCCUAACACAUGCAAGCCGAGCGGUAGAGUCUCUUCGGAGACUUGAGAGCGGCGUACGGGUGCGGAACACGUGUGCAACCUGCCUUUAUCAGGGGGAUAGCCUUUCGAAAGGAAGAUUAAUACCCCAUAAUAUUCUGAAUGGCAUCAUUUAGAAUUGAAAACUACGGUGGAUAGAGAUGGGCACGCGCAAGAUUAGAUAGUUGGUAGGGUAACGGCCUACCAAGUCUACGAUCUUUAGGGGGCCUGAGAGGGUGAUCCCCCACACUGGUACUGAGACACGGACCAGACUCCUACGGGAGGCAGCAGUGAGGAAUAUUGGACAAUGGGUG